AGUGGUUAGCUUCUGCGAAGCUACGAAUCGAAGCCCCAGUAAACGGCGGCCGUAACUAUAACGGUCCUAAGGUAGCGAAAUUCCUUGUCGGGUAAGUUCCGACCCGCACGAAAGGCGUAACGAUUUGGGCACUGUCUCAACGAGAGACUCGGUGAAAUCAUAGUACCUGUGAAGAUGCAGGUUACCCGCGACAGGACGGAAAGACCCCGUGGAGCUUUACUGUAGCCUGAUAUUGAAAUUCGGCACAGCUUGUACAGGAUAGGUAGGAGCCUUUGAAACGUGAGC
This 285-nucleotide ribosomal RNA is filed under the name Staphylococcus aureus. RNAcentral describes it as "partial 23S ribosomal RNA". It matches the Rfam family "Bacterial large subunit ribosomal RNA", at positions 1885 to 2169 of the family's 2925-position model. Lineage: Bacteria; Bacillati; Bacillota; Bacilli; Caryophanales; Staphylococcaceae. The record is from RNAcentral.